Molecule: long non-coding RNA, 2202 nt
Organism: Etheostoma cragini (Arkansas darter)
Lineage: Eukaryota; Metazoa; Chordata; Actinopteri; Perciformes; Percidae
Exons: 3
Source: RefSeq, a predicted model, not a curated record
CCUCCUGAACAAUAAAUGGCUUACUUGGCAAAUUGACAAGCAAAAUUCUAUUUGGCUGUCAAUCCCAAAACAUGAUCCCUCAACCUGAAGAUCUUAUCCUAUGAAAUGUGCAAGGUCACUGGAAUAUGUGCUUUAAUUUAAUGUGUGAAGAUGGUGGUUAUACAUAAAUAUAACUGAUAUAGAGAUAAUUGUCUAUUUUUUACAAAUGAGUGGUAAUUGUAAGCCAAAGUAUUAAAUGCUGAGAUCAAGUUAAAGAAGGGGGAUGCUGACUGAGGAAUCAGCAGGGUUUGCACAAAAGAUGGCCCAUGCCCGAGCCUAGUGAAUCUUUUUUUUUUUUCUUUUUUUUUUUAAUAUUCCUUUUUGAGUUCUGUACAAAGCAACAUGUGAGGUUUACUUGGGCUAACAUGUUUUUAAAUACAUGCGGUGUAAAAGAGAGAAAAGAUUUCUGCUGUGCAAAGCAACCAUGCUGAAAUUUUGACACCUUGUUGUAUGUUGUGUUUGUGUUUGUUUCUUUGAUGUUCGAUGCCAAAAGGGGGUGUGGUUAAAAAGAAAGCUUUAAGAUUAGAGCAUUAAUAGAGCUUUUACAUCAUCUGAAAUGUUAACUUCUUUUUAAAGGCUGGUUUCCUGUUGCGCGAUUAAGUCUAAUCCUUUAACUAAAACCGUCUUUCAUGGAUGAGGGCUGUAUGGAAGUACUGUAUGUUUUGAACCCAGAUUUGGUUUAAUCUGUGAUGGCAAGGCCAAUCUCUUAUCAAAUGUACCAAGUUGCUUGCAGAGGAGCAGUCUGGGUUUUAGCAGCAUAUUAGUAACAUAAACCAGUACAUUGUCUGGCAGAGCUAUUAUUGGAUGAUAUAUAGGCUAGUUUGGCUCUGUGACACAACACACCAGACUUUUCAAUCCUCUCACUGUUACACUCAAGUAGCGAUAGGGAGAAAAUGUAACCUUGCUGGCUCUGUGAUCCUCUUCCUGUGCCACCACUAGUUCCUUACUCUGCUGUCAUUUAAACGGACUGGAUUUAGAAAUGCAUAUGUAUCGAGAUAAUAGCAAAUCCUGUCCUCGUCGUUUGGUGUUUUGGCUUAUGUUGUGAAUGUGAACAUCUGUCAAAGCUUCAGAAGUGAGGGAGCUUUAUGUAGCUUUUUGACAGUUUGAUUGGGGAAAAGAGAUCAGUUCUAUCUUCACUGUGUGGAACAAGAUAAAUGGCUUCAUCUAGCAGUUUUCACGACUAAGUGCACACAAAACACGUAACUGUUUGAGCCUCAGAUACAAUGUCAAACUUACUUCAAAUGAGGAAAAAAUAGGAGGAACAUUGUAAGGCCUAUAUUUUUCUUAAGGUAUCAGUAACUUUGUAUACAAUCCACAAACCGGUUCUACUUCAUCUAACUUCACCGUCCUACCUCAUUGUUACUCUGGUGUUUGUUUGUCAGUGACUGUAAACUAUUUGUGUAUAUUAAAAAAAAAUCUAUAGGAAAGGUAUACCUGGUUACUCUCAAAUUGUACAGCAAAAUAAACUUGUAAAACACCUCAGUACACAAUAUCAUUCUGAGGAGAAAUCAGUUUUAUUACCUGCUUAAAGAUGCUGCUGUAAAGGGGUUGUCUCUGAAUAUAUAUCCUCGCUCUUUGCUAUGUUGUGCAGUUGAUCAGUGGUUGUGUUCUGUCUCUGUAUUGCAUUCUGAGAUUUUUACUGGUUGACGGGUGCUACCAGCAAACAGUUCAAAAACUGAUCUGUCUAUCGGACCUCAAAUGGUGCUGUUUUUCUAUGUUUUUAUCCUCAUUCAGCUAUGUUUUAUUCAGGUGUGUCAACCGCCAUUAUCCCCUCAGCUAAUCAAAUUUUAAGCCAAAAUAUUUUGCAAACAAUAACCCUGCUAUUACUGUAUUAACUAUAUGCUAUCUACCCAAAUAUUGUAGAUAGUGAUUAUAUCCUCAGCUGUGAGUUUCAGAAGUACCUCAUAACUUGCUGAUUUUUAAUAGAUGCAUCUGCUUCUAGCACCUGUUGUCGACCAACAUCACAUUGUUGCAGUGUAUUUUCAGAAAUAUGCAUUUUUACUGGUUAGAUCAGGUUUCACCAUACAUAGGACAUGAUUAUUAGAUCACACUCAGACGACCGAUAAAUUCAAACGAUACCACGUGUCAUAAAAGGAAAUCUCAGUUGGACUGGGCAGCAUCUGAAACAGUAGAAGAGGUCCUCAGCAAAACAAUAUUCUGUUG